AGGGCGGUAGCUCAAUUGGAAGAGUAGCGGUCUCCAAAACCGUCGGUUGGGGGUUCGAGUCCCCCCCGCCCUGCCA
RNAcentral lists this transfer RNA (76 nucleotides) under Verrucomicrobiota bacterium. Its description in RNAcentral is "Verrucomicrobia bacterium (anaerobic digester metagenome) tRNA-Trp". It matches the Rfam family "tRNA". Rfam says of the family: Transfer RNA (tRNA) molecules are approximately 80 nucleotides in length. Lineage: Bacteria; Pseudomonadati; Verrucomicrobiota. The record is from RNAcentral. RNAcentral also lists the same sequence under 2 other names.